ACGCUGGCGGCACGCCUAACACAUGCAAGUCGAACGAAGUAGCAAUACUUAGUGGCAGACGGGUGAGUAACAUGUAGGUAUCUGCCCUUUGGCCUGGAAUAACACGAGGAAACUUGUGCUAAUACCGGAUAAGUCUUUACGGAGAAAGCUUUAUGCACCAUUGGAUGAGCCUGCACUUGAUUAGUUUGUUGGUGGGGUAAUGGCCUACCAAGACUGUGAUCAAUAGCUGAUUUGAGAGGAUGAUCAGCCACAUUGGGACUGAGACACGGCCCAAACUCCUACGGGAGGCAGCAGUGGGGAAUCUUGCACAAUGGAGGAAACUCUGAUGCAGCGAUGCCGCGUGAGUGAAGAAGGCCCUUGGGUUGUAAAGCUCUUUCGUCGGGGAAGAAAAUGACUGUACCCGAAUAAGAAGGUCCGGCUAACUUCGUGCCAGCAGCCGCGGUAAUACGAAGGGACCUAGCGUAGUUCGGAAUUACUGGGCUUAAAGAGUUCGUAGGUGGUUGAAAAAGUUAGUGGUGAAAUCCCAGAGCUUAACUCUGGAACUGCCAUUAAAACUUUUCAGCUAGAGUAUGAUAGAGGAAAGCAGAAUUUCUAGUGUAGAGGUGAAAUUCGUAGAUAUUAGAAAGAAUACCAAUUGCGAAGGCAGCUUUCUGGAUCAUUACUGACACUGAGGAACGAAAGCAUGGGUAGCGAAGAGGAUUAGAUACCCUCGUAGUCCAUGCCGUAAACGAUGUGUGUUAGACGUUGGAAAUUUAUUUUCAGUGUCGCAGGGAAACCGAUAAACACACCGCCUGGGGAGUACGACCGCAAGGUUAAAACUCAAAUGAAUUGACGGGGACCCGCACAAGUAGUGGAGCAUGUGGUUUAAUUCGAAGAUACGCGCAGAACCUUACCAACACUUGACAUGUUCGUCGCGACUCUAAGAGAUUAGAGUUUUCGGUUCGGCCGGACGAAACACAGGUGCUGCAUGGCUGUCGUCAGCUCGUGUCGUGAGAUGUUGGGUUAAGUCCCGCAACGAGCGCAACCCUCACUUUUAGUUGCCAUCAUUAAGUUGGGCACUCUGAAAGAACUGCCAGUGAUAAGCUGGAGGAAGGUGGGGAUGACGUCAAGUCCUCAUGGCCCUUACGUGUUGGGCUACACACGUGCUACAAUGGUAUCUACAACAGGAAGCAAGACUGCGAAGUUAAGCAAAUCCCUAAAAGAUACCUCAGUUCGGAUUGCACUCUGCAACUCGAGUGCAUGAAGCUGGAAUUACUAGUAAUCGUGGAUCAGCGUGCCACGGUGAAUGCGUUCCCGGGUCUUGUACUCAC
Molecule: ribosomal RNA, 1310 nt
Filed under: uncultured Alphaproteobacteria bacterium
Lineage: Bacteria; Pseudomonadati; Pseudomonadota; Alphaproteobacteria
Description: uncultured alpha proteobacterium 16S ribosomal RNA
Rfam family: Bacterial small subunit ribosomal RNA
Source: RNAcentral